CCUACGGGCGGCAGCAGUGAGGAAUAUUGGUCAAUGGACGAGAGCCUGAACCAGCCAAGCAGCGUGAAGGAUGACUGCCUUAGGGGUGGUAAACUCUUUUUAUAUGGGAGUAAAACAGCGUAUGCAUACCGCCUUGUAUGUACCAUAUGAAUAAGGAACGGCUAACUCCGUGCCAGCAGCCGCGGUAAUACGGAGGAUCCGAGCGUUAUCCGGAUUUAUUGGGUUUAAAGGGAGCGUAGGUGGGAGGUUAAGUCAGUUGUGAAAGCUUGCGGCUCAACCGUAAAAUUGCAGUUGAAACUGGCAAUCUGGAGUACAGUAGAGGUGAGCGGAAUUCCUGGUGUAGCGGUGAAAUGCGUAGAUAUCACGAAGAACACCAGUGGCGAAGGCAGCUAACUGGA
This 398-nucleotide ribosomal RNA is filed under the name uncultured bacterium. Its description in RNAcentral is "partial 16S ribosomal RNA". It matches the Rfam family "Bacterial small subunit ribosomal RNA", at positions 338 to 733 of the family's 1533-position model. The record is from RNAcentral.